UGUGGACCAAGUUACACGCCGCCAAGUUCACUUCUGUUGUCAAUUCUGAUCUUCCCAUCACUCUAAGAACAUAUCACAAAAUAAUUUCAUAAUCUUGUAUUCAUGUUCAACAUACAUUUUUCUGACCUCUUGAGUCUUGAUAUCUGUGUGGGUUACAAUUUUAAAUAAUUGUGAUGUUUUCUCAAUGUUGUGUCCUUGACUUGACUUUGGCAAAAGUGUUUAUUAUUUUAUCAGACAAAGAAGAAUGAAAGGAGAAUGAAGAAAAUUCUUUUUAUUUUCAAGUUUUAAGUAGCAGAGAAAGAAUGAUCUCUCAACUCAAAUGAUGCCUGAGCCUGGCUGAUAAUAUUUACACAAUCUUGUGCAGGUACUUAAUGAGUCCUAAGAUGGAAUUUGUAAAAUUUUUUGGGAAGAAUAAUGAUGUUAACUCGCUUGCUGAUGGCAUAAUCAAAGAGAUUAAGCAGUAUAAAAGGUAGAAGUGCACGUGAUGCUCAUUCUACGCAGAUUUUAAACACUCAGUACCUUCAAUUUCUGCGGAUUUUAUUUUUCUUCAUUCCCAGAUCACAACUAUAUUUUCCGGAAAGGUUAAUUGUUGUACUUGGAUUGGAGAUUUGUAAGAGAUAUCCUAAAAUGUUGGGAGAAUUUUGUUUGCAAAGAUUAUGAUUUCAUUGUAAAAGCACAAUACCAUCACGGUUACUCAGUACCUUCAAUUUCUGCGGAUUUUAUUUUUCUUCAUUCCCAGAUCAUGACUAUAUUUUCCGGAAAGGUUAAAUGUUGUACUUGGAUUGGAGAUUUGUAAGAGAUAUCCUAAAAUGUUGGGAGAAUUUUGUUUGCAAAGAUUAUGAUUUCAUUA
This 850-nucleotide long non-coding RNA is filed under the name Citrus sinensis (sweet orange). Its description in RNAcentral is "long non-coding RNA (CSIN_LNC002593)". Lineage: Eukaryota; Viridiplantae; Streptophyta; Magnoliopsida; Sapindales; Rutaceae. The record is from RNAcentral.